GGUAGAUUGCAAGUCGAACGGCAGCACGGGGGCAACCCUGGUGGCGAGUGGCGAACGGGUGAGUAAUACAUCGGAACGUGUCCUGUAGUGGGGGAUAGCCCGGCGAAAGCCGGAUUAAUACCGCAUACGCUCUACGGAGGAAAGGGGGGGAUCUUAGGACCUCUCGCUACAGGGGCGGCCGAUGGCAGAUUAGCUAGUUGGUGGGGUAAAGGCCUACCAAGGCGACGAUCUGUAGCUGGUCUGAGAGGACGACCAGCCACACUGGGACUGAGACACGGCCCAGACUCCUACGGGAGGCAGCAGUGGGGAAUUUUGGACAAUGGGCGCAAGCCUGAUCCAGCAAUGCCGCGUGUGUGAAGAAGGCCUUCGGGUUGUAAAGCACUUUUGUCCGGAAAGAAAACGUCGUGGUUAAUACCCGUGGCGGAUGACGGUACCGGAAGAAUAAGCACCGGCUAACUACGUGCCAGCAGCCGCGGUAAUACGUAGGGUGCAAGCGUUAAUCGGAAUUACUGGGCGUAAAGCGUGCGCAGGCGGUCCGCUAAGACAGAUGUGAAAUCCCCGGGCUUAACCUGGGAACUGCAUUUGUGACUGGCGGGCUAGAGUAUGGCAGAGGGGGGUAGAAUUCCACGUGUAGCAGUGAAAUGCGUAGAGAUGUGGAGGAAU
This 663-nucleotide ribosomal RNA is filed under the name Paraburkholderia sp. RNAcentral's name for it is "bacterial SSU rRNA". It matches the Rfam family "Bacterial small subunit ribosomal RNA", at positions 48 to 707 of the family's 1533-position model. The record is from RNAcentral. Lineage: Bacteria; Pseudomonadati; Pseudomonadota; Betaproteobacteria; Burkholderiales; Burkholderiaceae.